Molecule: ribosomal RNA, 283 nt
Filed under: uncultured prokaryote
Description: partial 16S ribosomal RNA
Rfam family: Bacterial small subunit ribosomal RNA
Source: RNAcentral
UACGUAGGGGGCUAGCGUUAUCCGGAAUUACUGGGCGUAAAGGGUGCGUAGGCGGUCUUUCAAGCCAGAAGUGAAAGGCUACGGCUCAACCGUAGUAAGCUUUUGGAACUGUAAGACUUGAGUGCAGGAGAGGAGAGUGGAAUUCCUAGUGUAGCGGUGAAAUGCGUAGAUAUUAGGAGGAACACCAGUGGCGAAGGCGACUUUCUGGACUUAUACUGACGCUGAGGAACGAAAGCGUGGGGAGCAAACAGGAUUAGAUACCCGGGUAGUCCCUGAGCGGGCU